Molecule: ribosomal RNA, 253 nt
Filed under: uncultured bacterium
Lineage: Bacteria
Description: partial 16S ribosomal RNA
Rfam family: Bacterial small subunit ribosomal RNA
Source: RNAcentral
UACGAAGGGGGCUAGCGUUGUUCGGAAUCACUGGGCGUAAAGCGCACGUAGGCGGAUCUUUAAGUCAGGGGUGAAAUCCCGAGGCUCAACCUCGGAACUGCCUUUGAUACUGGGGAUCUCGAGUCCGGAAGAGGUGAGUGGAACUGCGAGUGUAGAGGUGAAAUUCGUAGAUAUUCGCAAGAACACCAGUGGCGAAGGCGGCUCACUGGCCCGAUACUGACGCUGAGGCACGAAAGCGUGGGGAGCAAACAGG